GACGUAGGGGGCGAGCGUUGUCCGGAAUCAUUGGGCGUAAAGGGCGCGUAGGCGGUGACGUAAGUCAGGCGUGAAAGGCAUCGGCUCAACCGACGCACAUAGCCUGAUACUACGUUGCUAGAGUGCAGGAGAGGAGAGUGGAAUUCCAGGUGUAGCGGUGAAAUGCGUAGAUAUCUGGAAGAACACCAGUGGCGAAGGCGGCUCUCUGGACUGUAACUGACGCUGAGGCGCGAAAGCUGGGGGAGCAAAC
Molecule: ribosomal RNA, 250 nt
Filed under: uncultured bacterium
Lineage: Bacteria
Description: partial 16S ribosomal RNA
Rfam family: Bacterial small subunit ribosomal RNA
Source: RNAcentral